GUGUUGCUGACUGUGUGGACGGCGGUCAGGAUAACUGUGUCGAUAUGGGCAAACUAAAGGGGCAUUCCUCACAUCCUCUCCCCUGAUAUCCUUCACCUCCUCGCUGUGACGGGGCCACGGGAGAUGAAAUAGGUAAGUGAAAAUACAAGAGCAUUCAGAGUGACACUUGUGGAAGAAGGACGAGAAGAAUUUUAAAGGUAAGGUUUGGUAAUUUAAGAAACUUGUCUGAGAGAGAGAGAGAGAGAGAGAGAGAGAGAGAGAGAGAGAGAGAGAGAGAGAGAGAGAGAGAGAGAGAGAGAGAGAGAGAGAGAGAGAGAGAGAGAGACGAAA
Long non-coding RNA from Scylla paramamosain (green mud crab), 330 nucleotides. RefSeq lists it as uncharacterized. The transcript is spliced from 2 exons. The record is from RefSeq and is a predicted model, not a curated record. NCBI's taxonomy places the organism in Eukaryota, Metazoa, Arthropoda, Malacostraca, Decapoda, Portunidae.